UAAAUGUGAGUGUGAUGUGAUUUUAUUAAGAUGAAAAGAGACUUCAAAAGAUUGCUACUUUGUCUUCUUGUAGAAAGUUGUUCAUAAAAUGGAGAAAUUUGGAAAUCUGAAUAUAGAUAAUUGGUAUAUGUUACUUUGGUUAGUGUCAUGUGUCCCAAAGAAGAAAUAAUUGACAUUCGAGCUCAGUAGGAAAGGUUAAAGAGAGAUGAGCUCUCCUCAAUUUUCACUUGAAGCCCAACAACCCAAAACUCUUUAAGCCAUUCCAUUAAUAUGAAAUUAUUCUUGAAA
This 288-nucleotide unclassified non-coding RNA is filed under the name Hevea brasiliensis (rubber tree). The record is from RNAcentral. Lineage: Eukaryota; Viridiplantae; Streptophyta; Magnoliopsida; Malpighiales; Euphorbiaceae.